This 72-nucleotide transfer RNA is filed under the name Araneus ventricosus. Its description in RNAcentral is "tRNA-Ala". The stretch from base 9 to 65 matches the Rfam family "tRNA", at positions 9 to 63 of the family's 71-position model. From Rfam's summary of the family: Transfer RNA (tRNA) molecules are approximately 80 nucleotides in length. Their secondary structure includes four short double-helical elements and three loops (D, anti-codon, and T loops). Further hydrogen bonds mediate the characteristic L-shaped molecular structure. tRNAs have two regions of fundamental functional importance: the anti-codon, which is responsible for specific mRNA codon recognition, and the 3' end, to which the tRNAs corresponding amino acid is attached (by aminoacyl-tRNA synthetases). tRNAs cope with the degeneracy of the genetic code in two manners: having more than one tRNA (with a specific anti-codon) for a particular amino acid; and 'wobble' base-pairing, i.e. permitting non-standard base-pairing at the 3rd anti-codon position. Lineage: Eukaryota; Metazoa; Arthropoda; Arachnida; Araneae; Araneidae. The record is from RNAcentral.
GCUGCUCGAGCUCAGAUGGUAGAGUGCUCGCCUAGCAUGCGAGAGGUACCGGGAUCGAUACCCGGCGCCUCC